GUCAGCGGAGGGGCCAGGAUAUGCCAUCCGGUCCCGACCUCCUCAGGUGUGGCCCCACCGUCAGUCGGUCCCAGGUGUGCUGUCGGGAAUAAGAAAGAAGCUCAUCACAGCUGCUGCAUUUACACAAAGCAAUUAGGUGCGGGCUCCCUGGGGCCCAGGAGAGAGGACAGAGACACAGCCUCCUGCUGGACUGUCACACGAAGGCGUCCGUGCACCACAUCCCAGAUGUCACAUCAGUCAGUGACGACCGCCCAUUACAUCGCUUCUUGGAGAACGCUGCUCGGAGUUUCAUCGUUUUACCUUGUUGGCUGCAGAUAAUUUUCCUUUGAAUCGUGUUUUGAAAUGUGAUCCUUUCAUUUGCGAAGCCUUGCAGAAAUAAUAAAGAAAAAUAAAUGAAUGAACCAGGGGUCCCCAGCGUCCUCGCCCUGGAA
Felis catus (domestic cat) is the source of this 431-nucleotide long non-coding RNA. RefSeq lists it as uncharacterized. The record is from RefSeq and is a predicted model, not a curated record. NCBI's taxonomy places the organism in Eukaryota, Metazoa, Chordata, Mammalia, Carnivora, Felidae. The transcript has 2 exons.